RNAcentral lists this ribosomal RNA (454 nucleotides) under Salmonella enterica subsp. arizonae serovar 41:z4,z23:-. Its description in RNAcentral is "bacterial SSU rRNA". It matches the Rfam family "Bacterial small subunit ribosomal RNA", at positions 1 to 451 of the family's 1533-position model. The record is from RNAcentral. Lineage: Bacteria; Pseudomonadati; Pseudomonadota; Gammaproteobacteria; Enterobacterales; Enterobacteriaceae.
AAAUUGAAGAGUUUGAUCAUGGCUCAGAUUGAACGCUGGCGGCAGGCCUAACACAUGCAAGUCGAACGGUAACAGGAAGCAGCUUGCUGCUUCGCUGACGAGUGGCGGACGGGUGAGUAAUGUCUGGGAAACUGCCUGAUGGAGGGGGAUAACUACUGGAAACGGUAGCUAAUACCGCAUAAUGUCGCAGGACCAAAGAGGGGGACCUUCGGGCCUCUUGCCAUCAGAUGUGCCCAGAUGGGAUUAGCUUGUUGGUGAGGUAACGGCUCACCAAGGCGACGAUCCCUAGCUGGUCUGAGAGGAUGACCAGCCACACUGGAACUGAGACACGGUCCAGACUCCUACGGGAGGCAGCAGUGGGGAAUAUUGCACAAUGGGCGCAAGCCUGAUGCAGCCAUGCCGCGUGUAUGAAGAAGGCCUUCGGGUUGUAAAGUACUUUCAGCGGGGAGGAAGG